RNAcentral lists this ribosomal RNA (446 nucleotides) under uncultured bacterium. Its description in RNAcentral is "partial 16S ribosomal RNA". It matches the Rfam family "Bacterial small subunit ribosomal RNA", at positions 338 to 795 of the family's 1533-position model. The record is from RNAcentral.
CCUACGGGGUGCUGCAGUCGAGAAUCAUUCACAAUGGGGGAAACCCUGAUGGUGCGACGCCGCGUGGGGGAAUGAAGGUCUUCGGAUUGUAAACCCCUGUCAUGUGGGAGCAAAUUAAAAAGAUAGUACCACAAGAGGAAGAGACGGCUAACUCUGUGCCAGCAGCCGCGGUAAUACAGAGGUCUCAAGCGUUGUUCGGAAUCACUGGGCGUAAAGCGUGCGUAGGCUGUUUCGUAAGUCGUGUGUGAAAGGCGCGGGCUCAACCCGCGGACGGCACAUGAUACUGCGAGACUAGAGUAAGGGAGGGGGAACCGGAAUUCUCGGUGUAGCAGUGAAAUGCGUAGAUAUCGAGAGGAACACUCGUGGCGAAGGCGGGUUCCUGGACAUUAACUGACGCUGAGGCACGAAGGCCAGGGGAGCGAAAGGGAUUAGAUACCCGAGUAGUC